GGUUGUGACUCAGUGGUAGAGCACUUGCCUAGCAUGCAUGAGGCACUGGGUUCGAUCCCUGGCACCA
RNAcentral lists this transfer RNA (67 nucleotides) under Marmota monax (woodchuck). It matches the Rfam family "tRNA". From Rfam's summary of the family: Transfer RNA (tRNA) molecules are approximately 80 nucleotides in length. Their secondary structure includes four short double-helical elements and three loops (D, anti-codon, and T loops). Lineage: Eukaryota; Metazoa; Chordata; Mammalia; Rodentia; Sciuridae. The record is from Rfam by way of RNAcentral.